UACGGGGGGGGCAAGCGUUGUUCGGAAUUACUGGGCGUAAAGGGCGCGUAGGCGGUCCGAUAAGUCCUGUGUGAAAUCCCUCGGCUCAACUGAGGAACUGCACGGGAGACUGUCGGGCUUGAGUUCGGGAGAGGGAAGCGGAAUUCCGGGUGUAGCGGUGAAAUGCGUAGAUAUCCGGAGGAACACCGGUGGCGAAGGCGGCUUCCUGGACCGACACUGACGCUGAGGCGCGAAAGCUAGGGGAGCAAACGGG
Molecule: ribosomal RNA, 253 nt
Filed under: uncultured bacterium
Lineage: Bacteria
Description: partial 16S ribosomal RNA
Rfam family: Bacterial small subunit ribosomal RNA
Source: RNAcentral